RNAcentral lists this non-coding RNA (31 nucleotides) under Mus musculus (house mouse). The record is from RNAcentral. Lineage: Eukaryota; Metazoa; Chordata; Mammalia; Rodentia; Muridae.
UACACUUCCUUGGUGUUCAUCUGCCUCACUU